RNAcentral lists this ribosomal RNA (674 nucleotides) under gamma proteobacterium symbiont of Ctena orbiculata. RNAcentral describes it as "bacterial LSU rRNA". It matches the Rfam family "Bacterial large subunit ribosomal RNA", at positions 2268 to 2925 of the family's 2925-position model. Lineage: Bacteria; Pseudomonadati; Pseudomonadota; Gammaproteobacteria. The record is from RNAcentral.
GUUUGACUGGGGCGGUCUCCUCCCAAAGAGUAACGGAGGAGCACGAAGGUACCCUCAGCGCGGUCGGACAUCGCGCAACGAGUGCAAAGGCAUAAGGGUGCUUGACUGCGAGACAGACAAGUCGAGCAGGUACGAAAGUAGGUCUUAGUGAUCCGGUGGUUCUGUAUGGAAGGGCCAUCGCUCAACGGAUAAAAGGUACUCCGGGGAUAACAGGCUGAUACCGCCCAAGAGUUCAUAUCGACGGCGGUGUUUGGCACCUCGAUGUCGGCUCAUCACAUCCUGGGGCUGAAGUCGGUCCCAAGGGUAUGGCUGUUCGCCAUUUAAAGUGGUACGCGAGCUGGGUUUAGAACGUCGUGAGACAGUUCGGUCCCUAUCUGCCGUGGGCGUCUGAGAUUUGAGGGAAGCUGCUCCUAGUACGAGAGGACCGGAGUGGACGUAUCUCUGGUGUUCCGGUUGUCACGCCAGUGGCACUGCCGGGUAGCUAAAUACGGACAGGAUAACCGCUGAAAGCAUCUAAGCGGGAAGCCCCUCCCAAGAUAAGAUCUCACUUGUCUCUUGAAGACACUGAAGGGCCGUUGAAGACUACAACGUUGAUAGGCUGGGUGUGGAAGCGCAGUAAUGCGUGAAGCUAACCAGUACUAAUUGCCCGUGAGGCUUGACCAUAUAACACCCAA